ACUAAUUGUGCUAACGACGAGGCCAACGAUACUCUCACUCGGAUUGUCUCACUGGCUUCUCCCAUCCCUUCUCCGAGCCCCUCGAUGAGGCCUCCGAUGAACUCUAUGACCACCUGGCCCGCGAGACGGGCUGCAGUUCCCAGGGGGCUAGGCUUGUCAGGCGUAGGUAUGCCGUUGGCCUGGAGGCCGUUGAUGAAAACCUUGGCGCACACCGCGUGGAGAUGGUAUUCGCACACGGUGCACCGAUACACCCUUCCCGAUCUCUUCUUGUUGCACUCCCCGCACGCCGCGUUGCCGGCCGGCAGCAGCCUCAGGGGGUGCGGGUGAGCCGGGAACCGAACCUCCGUCGUCAGCAUGGCACAGCACGGGUGCAUCUGGAAGCUGCAGGCUCUGCAUCGGAAGGCAAACCCUUUGCUCGACUUUCCGCAGACGUCGCACCUCGGCCACGAAAUCCCGCCUUUUGCUGCAUCGCGUCACACUAAAAGGUUAUGCUCGCGCGUUUUUUUAAUGGACAAAUAAACAUGAAAUUUUAAAGGGACUCGAACUUGUGACCUUUGGUCCGAGCAUCAAUCACUCUACCGCUUGGCCAACACACGUAAUUUCAGUUUACGUACCCGUUUUUGAUUUGGCGUGGAAAACGAGCUGGUGCUGGCCGUGGAACGGGUGGCUGUUCAAGACGGGAGGGGAGGCGGCGCAGAAGUCGUGCAGCUGGAAGUCGCACUGCGCGCACGCAAACCUCCGGCCUGCGCCGUACUCCUUGCAGCCGCCGCACGUGAAGAGCUCCGGGAGAGUGACUUGGAGCAACGGGUGCUCGGAGUGGGCGUAAUGCAGCAUCCCGUCUCCCGAGGCCGACUGCGGCGACGUCGGGAACUCGACCGCCGCCGCGGCCGGGGAGGAGGAGGAGGAGCGUUUCAUGGGGCGGAGAGAAGUUUGAGACUUGAGGGAAGUGUGCCUUCUCAUUGUGUGUGUGUGUGUGUGUGUUUGGAUAUGGGAGUGGAGGAAUAUUAUUUAUGCUGCCUAAAUUAAUCAAAGUGCUUGCUUUAUCAAA
This is a non-coding RNA of Salvia hispanica, 1048 nucleotides long. NCBI's taxonomy places the organism in Eukaryota, Viridiplantae, Streptophyta, Magnoliopsida, Lamiales, Lamiaceae. The record is from RefSeq and is a predicted model, not a curated record.